Molecule: transfer RNA, 85 nt
Filed under: Felis catus (domestic cat)
Lineage: Eukaryota; Metazoa; Chordata; Mammalia; Carnivora; Felidae
Rfam family: tRNA
About the family: Transfer RNA (tRNA) molecules are approximately 80 nucleotides in length.
Source: Rfam by way of RNAcentral
GCCUGGAUGGCUCAGUUGGUUCAGCGUCUGACUUCGGCUCAGGUCACGAUCUCACGGUUCGUGGGUUCGAGCCCCGCGUCGGGCU